UUCGGGGUAUUACACUUACUUUGCCUGUAUACUUCAAAUCCCUCCACUUUCCCUUUUUUCCUUUACUCAAAAUUAACCUAAAAAUUUUUAUUUUUCACUUUGGGAUUCCUUCCCCCACGCCCUCACUUUCUCUUUGGCUUAUUGUUUAGUCCCACAAUCACGGUAAAUAUAACUAUGCCUGUGGUGUAACUUGAAUUAUGACCACAAUGAUCAUCUUGUAGCGCUAUGUAUAGUUACUUUGCAGGCCUAAAAUUG
This 255-nucleotide long non-coding RNA is filed under the name Gossypium raimondii (Peruvian cotton). Its description in RNAcentral is "long non-coding RNA (GRAI_LNC006939)". Lineage: Eukaryota; Viridiplantae; Streptophyta; Magnoliopsida; Malvales; Malvaceae. The record is from RNAcentral.